AGUCCAGACUCCUACGGGAGGCAGCAGUGGGGAAUAUUGCACAAUGGGGGGAACCCUGAUGCAGCGACGCCGCGUGAGGGAAGAAGGUUUUCGGAUUGUAAACCUCUGUCCUCUGUGACGAUAAUGACGGUAGCAGAGGAGGAAGCCACGGCUAACUACGUGCCAGCAGCCGCGGUAAUACGUAGGUGGCAAGCGUUGUUCGGAAUGACUGGGCGUAAAGGGUGUGUAGGCGGUGUAGCAAGUUAGAAGUGAAAUACCUAGAGCUUAACUCAGGUGCUGCUUCUAAAACUGCUAUACUUGAGUGCAGUAGAGGAAAGUGGAAUUCCUAGUGUAGCGGUGGAAUGCGUAGAUAUUAGGAGGAACAUCAGUGGCGAAGGCGACUUUCUGGACUGUAACUGACGCUGAGGCACGAAAGUGUGGGGAGCAAACAGGAUUAGAUACCCUCGUAU
This 449-nucleotide ribosomal RNA is filed under the name uncultured bacterium. RNAcentral's name for it is "partial 16S ribosomal RNA". It matches the Rfam family "Bacterial small subunit ribosomal RNA", at positions 328 to 793 of the family's 1533-position model. The record is from RNAcentral.